GGGGAUUUAGCUCAGUGGUAGAGCACUUGCCUAGCCAGUGCAAGGCCCUGGGUUCGAUCCCCAGCUCCG
Rattus norvegicus (Norway rat) is the source of this 69-nucleotide non-coding RNA. The record is from Rfam. NCBI's taxonomy places the organism in Eukaryota, Metazoa, Chordata, Mammalia, Rodentia, Muridae.